RNAcentral lists this ribosomal RNA (1578 nucleotides) under Salmonella enterica subsp. enterica serovar Bovismorbificans. RNAcentral describes it as "partial 23S ribosomal RNA". It matches the Rfam family "Bacterial large subunit ribosomal RNA", at positions 1330 to 2886 of the family's 2925-position model. The record is from RNAcentral. Lineage: Bacteria; Pseudomonadati; Pseudomonadota; Gammaproteobacteria; Enterobacterales; Enterobacteriaceae.
CCGCUCGCCGGAAGACCAAGGGUUCCUGUCCAACGUUAAUCGGGGCAGGGUGAGUCGACCCCUAAGGCGAGGCCGAAAGGCGUAGUCGAUGGGAAACGGGUUAAUAUUCCCGUACUUGGUGUUACUGCGAAGGGGGGACGGAGAAGGCUAUGUUGGCCGGGCGACGGUUGUCCCGGUUUAAGCGUGUAGGUGUGUGUUCCAGGUAAAUCCGGUUCACUUUAACACUGAGGCGUGAUGACGAGGCACUACGGUGCUGAAGCAACAAAUGCCCUGCUUCCAGGAAAAGCCUCUAAGCAUCAGGUAACACGAAAUCGUACCCCAAACCGACACAGGUGGUCAGGUAGAGAAUACCAAGGCGCUUGAGAGAACUCGGGUGAAGGAACUAGGCAAAAUGGUGCCGUAACUUCGGGAGAAGGCACGCUGACACGUAGGUGAAGUGAUUUACUCAUGGAGCUGAAGUCAGUCGAAGAUACCAGCUGGCUGCAACUGUUUAUUAAAAACACAGCACUGUGCAAACACGAAAGUGGACGUAUACGGUGUGACGCCUGCCCGGUGCCGGAAGGUUAAUUGAUGGGGUCAGCGCAAGCGAAGCUCCUGAUCGAAGCCCCGGUAAACGGCGGCCGUAACUAUAACGGUCCUAAGGUAGCGAAAUUCCUUGUCGGGUAAGUUCCGACCUGCACGAAUGGCGUAAUGAUGGCCAGGCUGUCUCCACCCGAGACUCAGUGAAAUUGAACUCGCUGUGAAGAUGCAGUGUACCCGCGGCAAGACGGAAAGACCCCGUGAACCUUUACUAUAGCUUGACACUGAACAUUGAGCCUUGAUGUGUAGGAUAGGUGGGAGGCUUUGAAGUGUGGACGCCAGUCUGCAUGGAGCCGACCUUGAAAUACCACCCUUUAAUGUUUGAUGUUCUAACGUGGACCCGUUACCCGGGUUGCGGACAGUGUCUGGUGGGUAGUUUGACUGGGGCGGUCUCCUCCUAAAGAGUAACGGAGGAGCACGAAGGUUGGCUAAUCCUGGUCGGACAUCAGGAGGUUAGUGCAAUGGCAUAAGCCAGCUUGACUGCGAGCGUGACGGCGCGAGCAGGUGCGAAAGCAGGUCAUAGUGAUCCGGUGGUUCUGAAUGGAAGGGCCAUCGCUCAACGGAUAAAAGGUACUCCGGGGAUAACAGGCUGAUACCGCCCAAGAGUUCAUAUCGACGGCGGUGUUUGGCACCUCGAUGUCGGCUCAUCACAUCCUGGGGCUGAAGUAGGUCCCAAGGGUAUGGCUGUUCGCCAUUUAAAGUGGUACGCGAGCUGGGUUUAGAACGUCGUGAGACAGUUCGGUCCCUAUCUGCCGUGGGCGCUGGAGAACUGAGGGGGGCUGCUCCUAGUACGAGAGGACCGGAGUGGACGCAUCACUGGUGUUCGGGUUGUCAUGCCAAUGGCACUGCCCGGUAGCUAAAUGCGGAAGAGAUAAGUGCUGAAAGCAUCUAAGCACGAAACUUGCCCCGAGAUGAGUUCUCCCUGAGACUUAGAGUCUCCUGAAGGAACGUUGAAGACGACGACGUUGAUAGGCCGGGUGUGUAAGCGCAGCGAUGCGU